UGCAGAAGUCUCCAGACAACAACAGCAGAGCAGUAAAUUCUGUCUCAUAUCCUUUGAAACCAUAAUGGACAAGAGUAGAAUUCCACUGUGCCAGUCCCCUUGUUGAUUCAGUCUGCUUCCUUCUAUUAUUUAACAGGAAACCCCAGGACAAUCAACACAUGGAGAGCAAAUGCUCCUCUCCUUCCCCUCUCAUUUUUUACUUUUUCUCAUCACAGAAUGAACAGGAGAACAAAGUGGAAGGCACCAUGCCAGCUUUAAACAUUCUGAUACUUUUAUGGAUGUGUGACUGUGUUCUUCUUCAAGGUUCUGAGACCAUGGAAAAUGAAAACAUCACUCCUCUACCCAUGACUGGUCUAUUUAAAUCAGUGACUCCUACAGAAACAUCCCAGGAUGCAAAGACGGAAUUCUUAUCUGCACCUUCCCCUACAGAAGAGAAAUCGGCAGCACUAUCGGUAGCAGCAUCUGGUGUUAUCAGCUUCAUUGUCAUUUUGGUGGUGAUUGUGAUCAUCCUGGUCUGUGUGGUCAGCCUAAGAUUCAGGUGCCGUCACUGCAAAGAUGCAGAAGCAGAUAAACAGAAACCUCAACACCCAAUAGUAACUUACAGCUGCUCUGAUGCUGAAAAUGCAGCUGAUAUGAAGAAUGUCUUAUUGGUCUCCAUGAAGGACUUAAACACAAGCACUAGCGAAGAUGGUAUGAAACCAAUGGUCAGCUGUGAAGAAUGAGAAAACACUGUAAUACUGCAAUGUUUUUAGUCAUAGUGGGUGGAUUAGUAAGGUGUUUAAUUAGUUUCCUUCUGGGACAUCAAACAUAUGAAGCUGCCUUAUAAAUUAGCCCAUAGGUUGAUCUAAAUCAUUACUGUUUACUCUGCCUGGCAGUGGUCUCCAGGAUGUAAGGCAGAGGUUUUUUCCUAGCCUUUUCUACCUGAAGAUACCAAAAGUUAAGAUGCACCUUACUUCUGCAAAAAAAU
This is a non-coding RNA of Pogona vitticeps (central bearded dragon), 967 nucleotides long. The record is from RefSeq and is a predicted model, not a curated record. NCBI's taxonomy places the organism in Eukaryota, Metazoa, Chordata, Lepidosauria, Squamata, Agamidae.